Molecule: ribosomal RNA, 429 nt
Filed under: Acidobacteriota bacterium
Lineage: Bacteria; Pseudomonadati; Acidobacteriota
Description: Acidobacteria bacterium partial 16S ribosomal RNA
Rfam family: Bacterial small subunit ribosomal RNA
Source: RNAcentral
UGGGGAAUUUUGGACAAUGGGGGAAACCCUGAUCCAGCCAUCCCGCGUGUGCGAUGAAGGCCUUCGGGUUGUAAAGCACUUUUGGCAGGAAAGAAACGUCAUGGGUUAAUACCCCGUGAAACGGACGGAACCUGCAGAAUAAGCACCGGCUAACUACGUGCCAGCAGCCGCGGUAAUACGUAGGGUGCAAGCGUUAAUCGGAAUUACUGGGCGUAAAGCGUGCGCAGGCGGUUCGGAAAGAAAGAUGUGAAAUCCCAGAGCUCAACUUUGGAACUGCAUUUUUAACUACCGUGCUAGAGUGUGUCAGAGGGAGGUGGAAUUCCGCGUGUAGCAGUGAAAUGCGUAGAUAUGCGGAGGAACACCGAUGGCGAAGGCAGCCUCCUGGGAUAACACUGACGCUCAUGCACGAAAGCGUGGGGAGCAAACAGG